AGUGAACGCUGGCGGUAGGCCUAACACAUGCAAGUCGAACGGCAGCACAGUAAGAGCUUGCUCUUACGGGUGGCGAGUGGCGGACGGGUGAGGAAUACAUCGGAAUCUACUUUUUCGUGGGGGAUAACGUAGGGAAACUUACGCUAAUACCGCAUACGACCUACGGUUGAAAGCAGGGGAUCUUCGGACCUUGCGCGAUUGAAUGAGCCGAUGUCGGAUUAGCUAGUUGGCGGGGUAAAGGCCCACCAAGGCGACGAUCCGUAGCUGGUCUGAGAGGAUGAUCAGCCACACUGGAAGUGGGACACGGUCCAGACUCCUACGGGAGGCAGCAGUGGGGAAUAGUGGACAAUGGGCGCAAGCCUGAUCCAGCCAUACCGCGUGGGUGAAGAAGGCCUUCGGGUUGUAAAGCCCUUUUGUUGGGAAAGAAAAGCAGCAGGUUAAUACCCCGCUGUUCUGACGGUACCCAAAGAAUAAGCACCGGCUAACUUCGUG
This 492-nucleotide ribosomal RNA is filed under the name uncultured bacterium. RNAcentral's name for it is "partial 16S ribosomal RNA". It matches the Rfam family "Bacterial small subunit ribosomal RNA", at positions 29 to 507 of the family's 1533-position model. The record is from RNAcentral.